UGCCAUCAGUUUUAGGCAGUAACUGUUAGCUGUCGAGAGUACCGGAACAGACUGUGGAGUAUUUCUAUAGAUCUAAAUAUGGUUCGUAAAAAAGGACAGUUUGUCUGGCAUUCGGAAUUCAUACACUAGUGAUCCAUCAGGACUUUAUCCAGUUUCCAGAAUGGCAGGAAGGAAGGACUUGUUGAAUUGGACCACUUGUCAAGGCAGCUUACAAAAGUCAGAAAUUUAAAAGCAGCCACCCCGCGACAGUAAGCUUGUCUACAUUUUCCAUAAAAUUUCCAAAAUAAAUACUGGAAAAAAAAACAUGGAAAUACAUACGACAUUGAUCAACACAAAAUAGCACAGCACCAGAAUGAAUGCGGAAGUUGUCACGAGUGGUGUGGCAUUGUUCCUGUUCGUUGGUUUACAGAUUCCAAAAGUCUGAACCAGAUAUGAGUAGAGUACAGUUUGAGAAAUGUCUUGGUAGAACAGAUACUAAGGAAAUAAUAAAGAGCAGAACAGACCAAAUUUCUCCUUCUUAUAAUGGAAUUUGGACAGUUUAGUUAAACACUUGAACUUUACGUUACAAAUGGAUUUCAUUUCCAUAAGUUUAACUUGUGAUUAUUACUAAGUAAGCAGUUGUAGCUUAUUUAUAAUCUGUCUUUGUUUAUUGAAUCAUUUGAUCAAAUAUAUUUUGAAUUGUGACACAUCUUAAGAUCAUUAAAUUUAUUAAUAUC
Long non-coding RNA from Mercenaria mercenaria, 716 nucleotides. RefSeq lists it as uncharacterized. The record is from RefSeq and is a predicted model, not a curated record. Lineage: Eukaryota; Metazoa; Mollusca; Bivalvia; Venerida; Veneridae. The transcript is spliced from 2 exons.